Molecule: ribosomal RNA, 253 nt
Filed under: uncultured bacterium
Lineage: Bacteria
Description: partial 16S ribosomal RNA
Rfam family: Bacterial small subunit ribosomal RNA
Source: RNAcentral
UACGUAGGGGGCAAGCGUUGUCCGGAAUCAUUGGGCGUAAAGCGCGUGUAGGCGGCUUGGUAAGUCCGCUCUGAAAGCCCGGGGCUCAACCCCGGGAGGCGGGUGGAUACUGUCAAGCUCGAGUCCGGAAGAGGCGAGUGGAACUGCGAGUGUAGAGGUGAAAUUCGUAGAUAUUUGCAAGAACACCAGUGGCGAAGGCGGCUCACUGGCCCGGUACUGACGCUGAGGUGCGAAAGCGUGGGGAGCAAACAGG